Molecule: ribosomal RNA, 498 nt
Filed under: uncultured bacterium
Lineage: Bacteria
Description: partial 16S ribosomal RNA
Rfam family: Bacterial small subunit ribosomal RNA
Source: RNAcentral
GAUGAACGCUGGCGGCGUGCCUAAUACAUGCAAGUCGAGCGAACAGACGAGGAGCUUGCUCCUCUGACGUUAGCGGCGGACGGGUGAGUAACACGUGGAUAACCUACCUAUAAGACUGGGAUAACUUCGGGAAACCGGAGCUAAUACCGGAUAAUAUAUUGAACCGCAUGGUUCAAUAGUGAAAGACGGUUUUUGCUGUUACUUAUAGAUGGAUCCGCGCCGCAUUAGCUAGUUGGUAAGGUAACGGCUUACCAAGGCGACGAUGCGUAGCCGACCUGAGAGGGUGAUCGGCCACACUGGAACUGAGACACGGUCCAGACUCCUACGGGAGGCAGCAGUAGGGAAUCUUCCGCAAUGGGCGAAGGCCUGACGGAGCAACGCCGCGUGAGUGAUGAAGGUCUUCGGAUCGUAAAACUCUGUUAUUAGGGAAGAACAAAUGUGUAAGUAACUAUGCACGUCUUGACGGUACCUAAUCAGAAAGCCACGGCUAACUACGUG